Molecule: ribosomal RNA, 440 nt
Filed under: uncultured bacterium
Lineage: Bacteria
Description: partial 16S ribosomal RNA
Rfam family: Bacterial small subunit ribosomal RNA
Source: RNAcentral
CCUACGGGUGGCAGCAGUGGGGAAUAUUGCACAAUGGGGGGAACCCUGAUGCAGCGACGCCGCGUGAGUGAAGAAGUAUUUCGGUUUGUAAAGCUCUAUCAGCAGGGAAGAAGAUGACGGUACCUAACCAAGACGACCCGGCUAAAUACGUGCCAGCAGCCGCGGUAAUACUUAGGGGGCCAGCGUUAUCCGGAUUUACUGGGGGUAAAGGGAGCGUAGACGGCAGGGCAAGUCGGGAGUGAAAGCCCGGGGCCCAACCCCGGGACUGCUUUGGAAACUGGCAUGCUAGAGUGCUGGAGAGGUAAGCGGAAUUCCUAGGGUAGCGGUGAAAGGCGUAGAUAUUAGGAGGAACACCAGUGGCGAAGGCGGCUUACUGGACAGUAACUGACGUUGAGGCUCGAAAGCGUGGGGAGCAAACAGGAUUAGAUACCCCGGUAGUC